This is a long non-coding RNA of Octopus sinensis (East Asian common octopus), 798 nucleotides long. RefSeq lists it as uncharacterized. Lineage: Eukaryota; Metazoa; Mollusca; Cephalopoda; Octopoda; Octopodidae. The transcript has 2 exons. The record is from RefSeq and is a predicted model, not a curated record.
CACUAUUUGCCCAGGUCCUCAAACAUUCAAAGCCAACUAGUUAUUAAAAAGAAAGGGUUAACAAAGAGUUGAGGAGUGAGAAGGAAAGAUCACAUGUGAGUCUAGCAUUAUUAUGGUGGCAGGGGUGGGUGGGAGGUUAAGAAAAAAGGGAUGAAAAGAUAGUGACAACAGUAAUGGAGUUUGAGAAAAUGGGUGAACUGCAGAGCUUUACAAGCAAAAUUGAUAUUGCAUAUUUAGGAGGGAGAUAGAAAUGGUCAAAAUGUAAGUUAGACUCUGAUAUUUCAUACUGUGCAGCUAACAAACAAAUGGACAAAUAUCUACGUGCAUGACUUUUAUAAUGAAAAACAGGAAGUUGGAAUGAGGAGCAAUGGAAUAAUUGCUCUCUGGUUUUGCAAGCGAAGAUGAAAAAAAUAAUUCUUUGUGGUCAUAUGACUGGUUAAAGCAUAGACAGUAUGAUUUUGGUAUGCUUUUACAGUGUGGACAAGUAUAAAGUCUACUAUUGCCCAUGUGGCAAGUUAGUUCGUGUUGAAAGACGAUUUGUGAUGGGCAAUGUCAGUGGUUUUUUAUGUAGUAGCCAGUGCCAUGGGGUCAAUGUGGGAAAUGAUGCCGGGCAAAAUUUGUGAGGAACAGUUGACACAGUAUUUGGUGUCGAGUGCGAAGUUGGUUUCAGUGGUUAAUGUGAAUGGUAGAAGGUUUUGAACUGGCUGCAAAAAUAGUGAACUUGACAAUGUAAAGAAGGCAGAAUGGUACCAUGAAUUCGGAAGUAGCAAGAAUCCAGUCGUAAAAAAAAGAAAAGUU